Molecule: long non-coding RNA, 946 nt
Filed under: Homo sapiens (human)
Lineage: Eukaryota; Metazoa; Chordata; Mammalia; Primates; Hominidae
Description: HSALNT0313241
Source: RNAcentral
CUAUGGACUGUAGACUUUGGGUUAAUACUGAAAUGAGUUAAGAUUUGGGGAGACUGUUGGGAAGGCAUGAUUGGUUUUGAAAUGUGAAAACGAGAUUUGGGAGGGACCAGGGACGGAAUGAUAUGGUUUGGCUGUGUUCGCACCCAAAUCUCAACUUGAAUUGUAACUCUCAGAAUUCCCACAUGUUGUGGGAGGGACCCAGUGGGAGGUAAUUGAAUUAUGGGGGUCAGUCUUUCCCAUCCUAGUCUCAUGAUAGUGAAUAAGUCUCAUGAGAUCUGAUGGGUUUAUCAGGGGUUUCCACUUUUGCUUCUUCCUUAUUUUUCUCUUGCUGCCACCAUGUAAGAAGUGCCUUGUGCCUCCUGCCAUGAUUCUGAGGCCUCCUCAGCCAUGUGGUACUCGUUUUCAAGAUCUAUUGUUGAUAAUAUAUAAUAUCUUACAAGUUAUUUAAUUCUCUAAUGUAUGGGAAGCAGCGUAGCAUCGUCCUUGCUGUUGCUAUGGUAUUUAUUGCUGUUGAGCCUUCAGGAAACCUCUCUGCAUCUCGGUUUCCUCAUCUAUAAAAUGGAGAUGAUAACUGUACUUACAUCAUGGAGCUGCUAUGAGGAUCAAAGAAGUUAUCAACACUUCAGAAUAUGGCCAGCACAUAGGAACAAUAUAUCUAUUUGCUAAAUCGAAGGAUAAAAAGAAACCUACUUUGUAUGGAAAAGGAGAAAGAAAAGAGUAAGAUUGAACUAUGCUUUGCUGCAUGGUGGGUUUGAUGAAAGUGGAGUCACGCUGAUUGGUGCUCAAGAUAAAUGUCUUAGGGGAAGACUCAUACCCAGUGGAAUUUUUUUUAGUGAAAUAUCGUGGCUCAUGGACUGUGAGAUUUGUCAUUUGUUUUCAAUAAAAUGAUAAAAAUCAUAAUUUAUUUUGUGAAAAAGAAUUUCUAAUGGAAGCAGGGAAAAGCAUA